RNAcentral lists this ribosomal RNA (1554 nucleotides) under Escherichia coli W. RNAcentral's name for it is "bacterial SSU rRNA". It matches the Rfam family "Bacterial small subunit ribosomal RNA". The record is from RNAcentral. Lineage: Bacteria; Pseudomonadati; Pseudomonadota; Gammaproteobacteria; Enterobacterales; Enterobacteriaceae.
AAAUUGAAGAGUUUGAUCAUGGCUCAGAUUGAACGCUGGCGGCAGGCCUAACACAUGCAAGUCGAACGGUAACAGGAAGCAGCUUGCUGCUUUGCUGACGAGUGGCGGACGGGUGAGUAAUGUCUGGGAAACUGCCUGAUGGAGGGGGAUAACUACUGGAAACGGUAGCUAAUACCGCAUAACGUCGCAAGACCAAAGAGGGGGACCUUCGGGCCUCUUGCCAUCGGAUGUGCCCAGAUGGGAUUAGCUUGUUGGUGGGGUAACGGCUCACCAAGGCGACGAUCCCUAGCUGGUCUGAGAGGAUGACCAGCCACACUGGAACUGAGACACGGUCCAGACUCCUACGGGAGGCAGCAGUGGGGAAUAUUGCACAAUGGGCGCAAGCCUGAUGCAGCCAUGCCGCGUGUAUGAAGAAGGCCUUCGGGUUGUAAAGUACUUUCAGCGGGGAGGAAGGGAGUAAAGUUAAUACCUUUGCUCAUUGACGUUACCCGCAGAAGAAGCACCGGCUAACUCCGUGCCAGCAGCCGCGGUAAUACGGAGGGUGCAAGCGUUAAUCGGAAUUACUGGGCGUAAAGCGCACGCAGGCGGUUUGUUAAGUCAGAUGUGAAAUCCCCGGGCUCAACCUGGGAACUGCAUCUGAUACUGGCAAGCUUGAGUCUCGUAGAGGGGGGUAGAAUUCCAGGUGUAGCGGUGAAAUGCGUAGAGAUCUGGAGGAAUACCGGUGGCGAAGGCGGCCCCCUGGACGAAGACUGACGCUCAGGUGCGAAAGCGUGGGGAGCAAACAGGAUUAGAUACCCUGGUAGUCCACGCCGUAAACGAUGUCGACUUGGAGGUUGUGCCCUUGAGGCGUGGCUUCCGGAGCUAACGCGUUAAGUCGACCGCCUGGGGAGUACGGCCGCAAGGUUAAAACUCAAAUGAAUUGACGGGGGCCCGCACAAGCGGUGGAGCAUGUGGUUUAAUUCGAUGCAACGCGAAGAACCUUACCUGGUCUUGACAUCCACAGAACCUUGUAGAGAUACGAGGGUGCCUUCGGGAACUGUGAGACAGGUGCUGCAUGGCUGUCGUCAGCUCGUGUUGUGAAAUGUUGGGUUAAGUCCCGCAACGAGCGCAACCCUUAUCCUUUGUUGCCAGCGGUCCGGCCGGGAACUCAAAGGAGACUGCCAGUGAUAAACUGGAGGAAGGUGGGGAUGACGUCAAGUCAUCAUGGCCCUUACGACCAGGGCUACACACGUGCUACAAUGGCGCAUACAAAGAGAAGCGACCUCGCGAGAGCAAGCGGACCUCAUAAAGUGCGUCGUAGUCCGGAUUGGAGUCUGCAACUCGACUCCAUGAAGUCGGAAUCGCUAGUAAUCGUGGAUCAGAAUGCCACGGUGAAUACGUUCCCGGGCCUUGUACACACCGCCCGUCACACCAUGGGAGUGGGUUGCAAAAGAAGUAGGUAGCUUAACCUUCGGGAGGGCGCUUACCACUUUGUGAUUCAUGACUGGGGUGAAGUCGUAACAAGGUAACCGUAGGGGAACCUGCGGUUGGAUCACCUCCUUACCUUAAAGAAGC